GCUUGUCUCAAAGAUUAAGCCAUGCAUGUCUAAGUGUAAAUAAGUCUAUACUGUGAAACUGCGAAUGGCUCAUUAAAUCAGUUAUCGUUUAUUUGAUGAUCUCUUACUACUUGGAUAACCGUAGUAAUUCUAGAGCUAAUACAUGCACAAAAUCCCGACUUACGAAGGGAUGUAUUUAUUAGAUAACAGACCAAUGCCCCCCCGGGCUUUGUGGUGACUCAUAGUAACUAAUCGGAUCGCAUGGGCCUGUCCCGCGACAAACCAUUCAAGUUUCUGCCCCAUCAGCUUUCGAUGGUAGUGUAUUGGACUACCAUGGCUUUUACGGGUAACGGAGGAUUAGGGUUCGAUUCCGGAGAGGGAGCCUGAGAAACGGCUACCACAUCUAAGGAAGGCAGCAGG
RNAcentral lists this ribosomal RNA (399 nucleotides) under uncultured Strobilidiidae. RNAcentral describes it as "partial small subunit ribosomal RNA". It matches the Rfam family "Eukaryotic small subunit ribosomal RNA", at positions 30 to 432 of the family's 1831-position model. Lineage: Eukaryota; Ciliophora; Spirotrichea; Choreotrichida; Strobilidiidae. The record is from RNAcentral.